This is a long non-coding RNA of Octopus bimaculoides (California two-spot octopus), 644 nucleotides long. NCBI's taxonomy places the organism in Eukaryota, Metazoa, Mollusca, Cephalopoda, Octopoda, Octopodidae. The record is from RefSeq and is a predicted model, not a curated record.
CUGGUUUAAAAAUGGUUUGUCCCAUAUCAUAAGUAAAUUCGACUUCGGCAGAAUGUAACUCAAAACAUGAAAACAUAAGAAAUGUUGCUAAGCAUUUGGUUCGGCAAGCUAACGAUUCUACCACUUUACUGCAUUAAAAAUACCUUAAAUACUAAUUAUCUUUCUACCAUUGGCACAGAACCUGGAAUUUGAGGGGGGGGGGGAUAGUCGAGUACUUCGACCGUAGUACUUGAUUGGUACUUAAUUUAUCGACCGAGACUUGAGGAAAUGCAAAGAAGACGCCUGCUGAAACUUAACUCAGAACGUAAACACGGAGGAAACGCCGCUAAGAAUUUUGACCGGUAUGCAAACGAAUCUGGCAGCUUCUCCGUGCCAAAUAAUGUAUCCAAAUGUUAACACAAGGUCAGUAAUAUCGGAGUAGUCGACCCUAGCAUUUAACUGGUUGUUGAUUUACCGACCACGAAAAGAUAAUUGGCACCGUGCCUUCAGCUACAACACAUCGUGAUAAACUCAGUGACAGCUACUAAUUUCAGGACACGACAGAUAGAGAGGAUGUUCUUGAGGCAGGGAAUGUCAACUUCUGUAGACAAUAUUUACAUAUCACUUGACGAAACACAACUAAGUGCAUAUCAAGUAACAGAAAG